ACGGAAGAUGCGAGCGUUAUCCGGAUUUAUUGGGUUUAAAGGGAGCGUAGGCGGGCUUUUAAGUCAGCGGUCAAAUGUCACGGCUCAACCGUGGCCAGCCGUUGAAACUGCAAGCCUUGAGUCUGCACAGGGCACAUGGAAUUCGUGGUGUAGCGGUGAAAUGCUUAGAUAUCACGAAGAACUCCGAUCGCGAAGGCAUUGUGCCGGGGCAUAACUGACGCUGAGGCUCGAAAGUGCGGGUAUCAAACAG
RNAcentral lists this ribosomal RNA (250 nucleotides) under uncultured bacterium. RNAcentral describes it as "partial 16S ribosomal RNA". It matches the Rfam family "Bacterial small subunit ribosomal RNA", at positions 525 to 775 of the family's 1533-position model. The record is from RNAcentral. RNAcentral also lists the same sequence under 1 other name.